This 440-nucleotide ribosomal RNA is filed under the name uncultured bacterium. RNAcentral describes it as "partial 16S ribosomal RNA". It matches the Rfam family "Bacterial small subunit ribosomal RNA", at positions 338 to 795 of the family's 1533-position model. The record is from RNAcentral.
CCUACGGGAGGCAGCAGUGGGGAAUAUUGCACAAUGGGGGAAACCCUGAUGCAGCGACGCCGCGUGAGUGAAGAAGGAAUUCGUUAUGUAAAGCUCUUUCAGCCGGGAAGCAAAUGACGGUACCUGACUAAGAAGCACCGGCUAACUACGUGCCAGAAGCCGCGGUAAUACGGAAGGGGCCAGCGUUAUCCGGAUUUACUGGGUGUAAAGGGAGCGUAGACGGCAGUGCAAGUCUGGAGUGAAAGGCGGAGGCUCAACCCCCGGACUGCUCUGGAAACUGGACGGCUGGAGUGCAGGAGAGGUAAGUGGAAUUCGUGGUGUAGCGGUGAAAUGCGUAGAUAUUAGGAGGAACACCAGUGGCGAAGGCGGCUUACGGGACUGUAACUGACGGUGAGGCUCGAAAGCGCGGGGAGCAAACAGGAUUAGAUACCCGAGUAGUC